Phymastichus coffea is the source of this 1063-nucleotide long non-coding RNA. RefSeq lists it as uncharacterized. Lineage: Eukaryota; Metazoa; Arthropoda; Insecta; Hymenoptera; Eulophidae. The record is from RefSeq and is a predicted model, not a curated record. The transcript is spliced from 3 exons.
CAACUCGAGAUAACGAUGCACUGUGAUAAUUUCAAAACAACCGUGGCAAAAGAAAAGGAACACACGUUGGCGCAAAAGCUCAGCGGUUCAACGCCGAUUACCCCGAGGAUUCAGCCAAGCAACGUCGCACCGAUUACAUUAACAAGUGCGGAGCAGCAGCGGCAAGUGAGCGAGCAGACGGCAGUGACAACACGAGCGUACAACUUUCAUGACCGCUCGCUCUGGCGCGCGGGGGUGAUAUGGAGCAGUGCCGUCACAUGGUACAACUUAUAUAGCCUUGGCGAGCCAGUCGCGCCAGCUACCCUCCACUCAUUCUUUCCCGAGGCAAUAGUACCAGACAGUCGCUUAAGAAGCAGUAGGGCUCAAGAUAAUUGAAGUUAUUAUCUUGGUGGGAAAUGAGAAUAGCUAAGCAUAUUGAAGAUGCCAUAUUAUAUAAGGAAAGAGAGAGAGAGAGAGAGAGAGAGAGAGAGAGUAAGAGAGAAGAGAGACAAAAGGAAUAGACAAUGCGGUACGUCGCAAGUAGUUGGAGGGGAUGGUCAGCCACGUCGUCUACGGUCGGCUAGGUGUUUUUUAAUAUCUGUCUACGGACGGUACCGUGUCUGUUAAGUUGUCUGCCCGCCGGAUUAUAAUGAUUUUUGUGGCUAUGUGCACUUAUAUUGCGACCAUUGCGGCGCCCUGCAAUCGAACUGCUACAUCGCUUAUCUUCACCACUACAUACUUUUGGCGAUCCUCGUUAUACUUUUAUAUAUAAUCUAUUACUAUAUUACUGUCUGGCAUACAAGAUAAGGUGACCUAUCCACUGUCUUCUAGGUAAUUGCCGAAAAAUUGCAUGUCUUUUUUGUUCUAACGAGUCUUUUGAGAAUUAUGAGGUUUUAAAUGUUUCUGUCUAGUUGAUGAAAUUAUUGUUAAAUAAGCCACCACAUUGUGGUUAUAUGAUCCCGUUGAUAUAUUAAUUAUUGAUUUAUUUUUAUAAUGCGAAGAAGAAUGAUGUUUUUAAAUAAAAAUUACAAUUAAUCGAUGUUUAACAAAACUAAUCCACUCAACACAAAUUGUAAUAAUGUAA